Molecule: ribosomal RNA, 253 nt
Filed under: uncultured bacterium
Lineage: Bacteria
Description: partial 16S ribosomal RNA
Rfam family: Bacterial small subunit ribosomal RNA
Source: RNAcentral
GACGUAGGGCGCGAGCGUUGUCCGGAAUUAUUGGGCGUAAAGAGCUCGUAGGCGGCUUGUUGCGUCGGCUGUGAAAACCCAUGGCUUAACCAUGGGCUUGCAGCCGAUACGGGCAGGCUAGAGUUCGGUAGGGGAGACUGGAAUUCCUAGUGUAGCGGUGAAAUGCGCAGAUAUCAGGAGGAACACCGGUGGCGAAGGCGGGUCUCUGGGCCGAUACUGACGCUGAGGAGCGAAAGCGUGGGGAGCGAACAGG